This 329-nucleotide ribosomal RNA is filed under the name uncultured eukaryote. Its description in RNAcentral is "partial 18S ribosomal RNA". It matches the Rfam family "Eukaryotic small subunit ribosomal RNA", at positions 1470 to 1796 of the family's 1831-position model. The record is from RNAcentral.
CCCUUAGAUGUUCUGGGCCGCACGCGCGCUACACUGAUGCAUUCAACGAGUCUAAAACCUGCUCUGAUAGGGGUGGGUAAUCUUUUGAAUGUGCAUCGUGAUUGGGAUAGAUGAUUGCAAUUUUUCAUCUUCAACGAGGAAUGCCUAGUAAACGCAAGUCAUCAGCUUGCAUUGAUUACGUCCCUGCCCUUUGUACACACCGCCCGUCGCUCCUACCGAUUGAAUGAUCCGAUGAAUAUCAUGGAUUGAGGAUGCAAGUAGGUUAGCCUAUCUUCAUCUUCGAGAAGGGAAGUAAAUCUUAUCAUUUAGAGGAAGGAGAAGUCGUAACA